CAAAGGAAUAGUACAUGAAAAGCAAAAAUUCUUGUAUACACGGCGGUGCAAGUCCACAUACAACAAAUAUGUUUUUCUGCAGCCAAUUCAUGGAUAUCAAGGGCAACCCAAUUCAAUUGAUGCUUUAUAGUACAUGAAAAGCAAAAAUUCUUGCAUACACGGCGGUGCAAGUUCACAUACAACAAAUAUAUUUUUUUGCAGCCAAUCCAUGGGUACCAAGAGCAACCCAAUUAAGUUGAUGCUUUAUAGUACAUGAAAAGCAAAAAUUCUUGCAUACACGGCGGUGUAACUCCACAUACAAUAAAUAUAUUUUUUUUGCAGCCAAUCCAUAGAUACCAAGAGCAACCCAAUAAAGUUAAUGUUUUCCCUUUUCUUCUUGUGCCUAUGUCUCAAGUCCUACAUCUGCUUUGGAGCUGACACCAUCACAGCAAACCAGUCUCUCUCUGGUGACCAAACAAUUGUUUCAGCUGGUGAGAAAUUUGAACUGGGUUUCUUCAAGGCAGGUAAUACUUCAAACUACUACAUAGGCAUGUGGUACUACAAGAAACUAGUACCAGAGCAAACCAUAGUCUGGGUGGCCAAUAGGGUGCAGCCAGUCUCUGAUAGAUUUUCUUCAGAGUUGAGAAUCUCAGAUGGUAAUUUGGUACUGUUUAAGUCCAAAACCCCAAUUUGGUCCACAGAUGUCAGUUCAAGUUCAGCUUCUUCUAUACAUGUAGUUCUUUUAGAUAAUGGAAACCUUGUGCUAAGAGCUGGGUCUUUGCCUUUAUGGCAAAGUUUUGAUCAACCAGCCCAUACUUUUCUACCAGAAAGCAAAAUUGGGUUCAACAAUGUUACAAAGCGAACUCAAGUCCUGACUUCAUGGAAGAAUUCUGAGGAUCCUUCACCUGGUCAAUUCUCUCUUGAGCUAGACCCGACGAGCAAGUCAUAUAUUAUAAAGUGGAAUAGGUCUCAACAGUAUUGGACAAGUGGACUUUGGGAUCAAAACAGACAUGUGUUCAGUUUGAGUCCCGAGAUGAGGCACUAUAUCUACAAUUUCAGCUAUGUUACAAACGAAAAUGAGAGCUACUUCACCUAUACUCUUUAUGAUGCUAGCAUCACAUCUCGAAUAAUAAUGGAUGUAUCGGGUCAGGUUCAGCAACUGUCCUGGUUGCACUCUCAGGGAUGGUACUUGUUUUGGUCUCGACCAAGGAAACAAUGUGAUGUUUAUGGUGUGUGUGGGCCAUUUAGUAGUUGCAGUGAGAAAUCCUUGCCCUUCUGUAAUUGUUUGAAUGGUUUUGAACCGAAAUUGAAGGUGGGUUGGGAUUUGCAGGAUUACUCUCUAGGGUGUUCAAGAAAAACCAGGCUGCAGUGUGGAAAUGUUACUGGUGUUGAUGGAAUGAGUGACCAGUUUAUAGAAAUGUCUAGCAGGCUAUCAUCCGCAGAUAUACAGUUUCAGAAUUUGACUUAUGUUUAUAGUAUGGAAGACUGUGAAUCAAUUUGCUUAAAUGAUUGCAAUUGCACUGCUUAUGGUUAUAGCAGCUCUUCUUCUGAAUGUUCAACUUGGAAAGGAGAUCUGUGGGCGGAUGAAAAUGGAAGAACUUUAUACAUCAGAAUACCAGCUUCUGAUCCCACAAGUAGAAAGCGAACCAUUGUAAUUGCAACAGUCUCAGCAACAGCAGGGUUGCUUACAAUAGUUUUUGGCUAUUUUUUAUGGAAGAAUACUUUGGGAAAGAGAAGUGAAACUAUAAAGAAUCUUAGCGCUGCUGGUGUGGAGAAUGAUACAGAACUACCACUAUUCAGUUUAAGGAGUAUAUUAGUGGCUACUAAUAACUUCUCUGAAGCAAAUAAACUAGGAGAGGGAGGAUUCGGCCCUGUUUAUAAGGGGAUUUUGCCUGAAAAUCAAGAAGUAGCCAUAAAAAGACUAUCAAAGAAGUCCGGGCAAGGACAACAGGAGUUCAUGAAUGAGUUAAAGCUUAUAGCGAAGCUCCAACAUACCAACCUUGUCAGACUCUUGGGUUGCUGCAUUGAAGCAGAGGAAAUGAUAUUGAUGUAUGAGUACAUGCCAAAUCGAAGUUUGGACAAAUUUUUGUUUGAUCCAUCCGAAAAGACAAAAUUGGAUUGGGGUAGACGUUUUAGAAUUAUAGAAGGUAUAGCUCAAGGAUUGCUUUAUAUCCACAAGUACUCAAGAUUAAAAAUCAUUCACAGGGAUCUAAAAGCAAGUAAUAUUCUAUUGGAUGGAACAAUGAACCCUAAGAUUUCUGACUUUGGAAUGGCAAAGAUUUUUGACAUAAAUCAAACUCAAGCAAAUACUAACAGGGUUGUUGGGACCUAUGCAGCGGCUACAUGUCACCUGAGUAUGCACGCUAUGGUCAUUUCUCUGAGAAAUCAGAUGUCUUUAGCUUUGGAGUUUUGUUGUUGGAGAUUGUAAGUGGAAAGAAGAAUGCUAUUUUCCAUCGUUUUGAACGUUCACCAACUCUCGCUGGAUGGGCAUGGGACCUAUGGAAAGAAGGAAGGGGAAUGGAGGUGAUUGAUGCAUCAAUAAGGGAAACAUUUUGGGCUCAUGAAGCUUUAAGGUGUAUCCAUGUAGGACUUCUGUGCGUUCAAGAAUCUGCAGCUGAUCGACCUGCA
This is an RNA transcript of Rosa rugosa (rugosa rose), 2607 nucleotides long. It is a transcript of the gene named G-type lectin S-receptor-like serine/threonine-protein kinase At2g19130, with no coding region annotated. The transcript has 8 exons. Lineage: Eukaryota; Viridiplantae; Streptophyta; Magnoliopsida; Rosales; Rosaceae. The record is from RefSeq and is a predicted model, not a curated record.